UGUCUCUGUGUUGUGGUCUUC
Molecule: unclassified non-coding RNA, 21 nt
Filed under: Mus musculus (house mouse)
Lineage: Eukaryota; Metazoa; Chordata; Mammalia; Rodentia; Muridae
Description: oocyte_clustered_small_RNA47
Source: RNAcentral